RNAcentral lists this ribosomal RNA (425 nucleotides) under uncultured bacterium. RNAcentral describes it as "partial 16S ribosomal RNA". It matches the Rfam family "Bacterial small subunit ribosomal RNA", at positions 354 to 796 of the family's 1533-position model. The record is from RNAcentral.
GUGGGGAAUUUUGGACAAUGGGCGCAAGCCUGAUCCAGCCAUGCCGCGUGAGUGAUGAAGGCCCUAGGGUUGUAAAGCUCUUUCACCGGUGAAGAUAAUGACGGUAACCGGAGAAGAAGCCCCGGCUAACUUCGUGCCAGCAGCCGCGGUAAUACGAAGGGGGCUAGCGUUGUUCGGAAUUACUGGGCGUAAAGCGCACGUAGGCGGACAUUUAAGUCAGGGGUGAAAUCCCGGGGCUCAACCCCGGAACUGCCUUUGAUACUGGGUGUCUGGAGUAUGGAAGAGGUAAGUGGAAUUCCGAGUGUAGAGGUGAAAUUCGUAGAUAUUCGGAGGAACACCAGUGGCGAAGGCGGCUUACUGGUCCAUUACUGACGCUGAGGUGCGAAAGCGUGGGGAGCAAACAGGAUUAGAUACCCCUGUAGUCC